CCGCGUGAGGGAUGACGGCCUUCGGGUUGUAAACCUCUUUCAGUAUCGACGAAGCGCAAGUGACGGUAGGUACAGAAGAAGGACCGGCCAACUACGUGCCAGCAGCCGCGGUAAUACGUAGGGUCCGAGCGUUGUCCGGAAUUACUGGGCGUAAAGAGCUCGUAGGUGGUUUGUCGCGUUGUUCGUGAAAACUCACAGCUCAACUGUGGGCGUGCGGGCGAUACGGGCAGACUGGAGUACUGCAGGGGAGACUGGAAUUCCUGGUGUAGCGGUGGAAUGCGCAGAUAUCAGGAGGAACACCGGUGGCGAAGGCGGGUCUCUGGGCAGUAACUGACGCUGAGGAGCGAAAGCGUGGGGAGCGAACAGGAUUAGAUACCCCUGGUA
RNAcentral lists this ribosomal RNA (384 nucleotides) under Mycobacterium sp. 1.1-VEs. RNAcentral describes it as "bacterial SSU rRNA". It matches the Rfam family "Bacterial small subunit ribosomal RNA", at positions 397 to 792 of the family's 1533-position model. The record is from RNAcentral. Lineage: Bacteria; Bacillati; Actinomycetota; Actinomycetes; Mycobacteriales; Mycobacteriaceae.